Molecule: ribosomal RNA, 253 nt
Filed under: uncultured bacterium
Lineage: Bacteria
Description: partial 16S ribosomal RNA
Rfam family: Bacterial small subunit ribosomal RNA
Source: RNAcentral
UACAGAGGGUGCGAGCGUUAAUCGGAUUUACUGGGCGUAAAGCGUGUGUAGGUGGCCGCGUAAGUCGGUUGUGAAAUCCCUGGGCUUAACUCGGAACGGCCAAGUGAAACUGUCAAGCUAGAGUGCAGAAGGGGCAAUCGGAAUUCUUGGUGUAGCGGUGAAAUGCGUAGAUAUCAAGAGGAACACCUGAGGUGAAGACGGGUUGCUGGGCUGACACUGACGCUGAGGCGCGAAAGCCAGGGGAGCAAACGGG